AUUGAACGCUGGCGGCAUGCUCUACACAUGCAAGUCGAACGGUAACAGGUUAAGCUGACGAGUGGCGAACGGGUGAGUAAUGCAUCGGAACGUGCCCGAUCGUGGGGGAUAACGCAGCGGAAGCUGCGCUAAUACCGCAUACGAUCUGAGGAUGAAAGCGGGGGACCGUAAGGCCUCGCGCGAUCGGAGCGGCCGAUGUCAGAUUAGGUAGUUGGUGGGGUAAAGGCUCACCAAGCCAACGAUCUGUAGCUGGUCUGAGAGGACGACCAGCCACACUGGGACUGAGACACGGCCCAGACUCCUACGGGAGGCAGCAGUGGGGAAUUUUGGACAAUGGGCGAAAGCCUGAUCCAGCAAUGCCGCGUGCAGGAAGAAGGCCUUCGGGUUGUAAACUGCUUUUGUACGGAGCGAAAAGGCUCUCUCUAAUACAGGGGGCUCAUGACGGUACCGUAAGAAUAAGCACCGGCUAACUACGUGCCAGCAGCCGCCGUAA
RNAcentral lists this ribosomal RNA (493 nucleotides) under uncultured bacterium. RNAcentral's name for it is "partial 16S ribosomal RNA". It matches the Rfam family "Bacterial small subunit ribosomal RNA", at positions 29 to 523 of the family's 1533-position model. The record is from RNAcentral.